Molecule: long non-coding RNA, 748 nt
Organism: Gasterosteus aculeatus aculeatus (three-spined stickleback)
Lineage: Eukaryota; Metazoa; Chordata; Actinopteri; Perciformes; Gasterosteidae
Source: Ensembl
AAUUCUCCCAUUUAUCUUUUCUCUCAUCUCAAAUAGAAAGGAAUUGACCUUUCAGCUUCCUGAUAUGUAGAGGUGCCAGUCAGAGCAGAACCUUGCAAAGACAGAGUUCAGUCAAUGGAAUCAGAUCAGAGCUCUACCAACCACAGCCUUAAGUCAAUGGACUCCAACUAGAUUCUUAAAGAGUCAGUGUUAGGUCAAUGGACUCCUACUAGAGCCUUAAGAGUCAGAGUUAGGUCAAUGGACUCCUACUAGAGCCUUAACAGUCAGAUUUAGGUCAAUGGACUCCUACUAGAGCUUUAAGAGUCAGAGUUAGGUCAAUAGACUCCUACUAGAGCCUUAAGAGUCAGUGUUAGGUCAAUGAACUCCAACUAGAGCCUUAAGAGUCAGAGUUAGGUCAAUGGAAUCCAACUAGAGCCUUAAGAGUCAGUGUUAGGUCAAUGGACUCCAACUUAAGCCCUAGCGGUCAGUGUUAGGUCAAUGGACUCCUACUAGAGCCUUAAGAGUCCGUGUUAGGUCAAUGGACUCCUACUAGAGCCUUAAGAGUCAGUGUUAGGUCAAUGGACUCCUACUAGAGCCUUAAGAGUCAGAGUUAGGUCAAUGGACUCCUACUAGAGCCUUAAGAGUCAGUGUUAGGUCAAUGAACUCCAACUAGAGCCUUAAGAGUCAGAGUUAGGUCAAUGGAAUCCAACUAGAGCCUUAAGAGUCAGUGUUAGGUCAAUGGACUCCUACUAGAGUCUUAAGAGUCAGA